AACGUAGGGGGCAAGCGUUGUCAGGAUUCAUUGGGCGUAAAGAGCUCGUAGGCGGCUUGGCCAGUCGGAUGUGAAAUCUCCAGGCUCAACCUGGAGUCGCCAUCCGAUACUGCUAUGGCUAGAGUCCGGUAGAGGAUCGUGGAAUUCCUGGUGUAGCGGUGAAAUGCGCAGAUAUCAGGAGGAACACCGAUGGCGAAGGCAGCGAUCUGGGCCGGCACUGACGCUGAGGAGCGAAAGCGUGGGGAGCGAACAGG
Molecule: ribosomal RNA, 254 nt
Filed under: uncultured bacterium
Lineage: Bacteria
Description: partial 16S ribosomal RNA
Rfam family: Bacterial small subunit ribosomal RNA
Source: RNAcentral